UACCUACGGGGGGCAGCAGUGAGGAAUAUUGGUCAAUGGGCGUAAGCCUGAACCAGCCAAGUCGCGUGAGGGAUGAAGGUUCUAUGGAUCGUAAACCUCUUUUAUAAGGGAAUAAAGUGCGGGACGUGUCCCGUUUUGUAUGUACCUUAUGAAUAAGGAUCGGCUAACUCCGUGCCAGCAGCCGCGGUAAUACAGAGGAUCCGAGCGUUAUCCGGAUUUAUUGGGUCUAAAGGGUGCGUAGGCGGAUCGUUAAGUCAGUGGUCAAAUUGAGGGGCUCAACCCCUUCCCGCCAUUGAAACUGGCGC
Molecule: ribosomal RNA, 305 nt
Filed under: uncultured bacterium
Lineage: Bacteria
Description: bacterial SSU rRNA
Rfam family: Bacterial small subunit ribosomal RNA
Source: RNAcentral